GGUGAGAGCGCGGUGGUAGCAACCUCACACCUGGGCUUUAACUCUUCCGGGUCACGGGCGUGGGCGGAUGCCGAGUGGGAGAAGAGAAGCAGGUCUUAAAGCCCCUGGAUCCGCUAGGCGCUUCCUGGAGCGUCCAGGCCGGGGUCGGUGCCCUCCUCAUUCGGGAGGGAGGGGGGUAAGCGCUGGGCGGAGCGAAGUCUCGCGAGAUCUGGCCGUAGCGGCGGCAGCAGCGGCGGCGGCGGCGGCCCGGGAGGUUCAUAAUAAAGGUGCUAAGGAAGAGAAUGUAAGACAGGACAAUAAAUAUUUUUAUUGAGGCAGCAGCUGCAUCCAGACUUAGCUCACUGAGAGGGGGGUGGGGAGGCAGAGAACCCAGAAGGAGUCAGGAAGGAAAUAAAUAAACCCUGUGUAAUGGGUUUUU
This is a long non-coding RNA of Phodopus roborovskii (desert hamster), 418 nucleotides long. RefSeq lists it as uncharacterized. Lineage: Eukaryota; Metazoa; Chordata; Mammalia; Rodentia; Cricetidae. The record is from RefSeq and is a predicted model, not a curated record. The transcript has 3 exons.